GAUGAACGCUGGCGGCGUGCCUAAUACAUGCAAGUCGAGCGAACAGAUGAGGAGCUUGCUCCUCUGACGUUAGCGGCGGACGGGUGAGUAACACGUGGAUAACCUACCUAUAAGACUGGGAUAACUUCGGGAAACCGGAGCUAAUACCGGAUAAUAUAUUGAACCGCAUGGUUCAAUAGUGAAAGACGGUUUUGCUGUCACUUAUAGAUGGAUCCGCGCCUCAUUAGCUAGUUGGUAAGGUAACGGCUUACCAAGGCAACGAUGCGUAGCCGACCUGAGAGGGUGAUCGACCACACUGGAAAUGAGACACGGUACAGACUCCUACGGGAGGCAGCAGUAGGGAAUCUUCCGCAAUGGGCGAAAGCCUAACGGAGAAACGCCGCGUGAGUGAUGAAGGUCUUCGGAUCGUAAAACUCUGUUAUUAGGGAGGAACAAAUGUGUAAGUAACUAUGCACGUCUUGACGGUACCUAAUCAGAAAGCCACGGCUAACUACGUG
RNAcentral lists this ribosomal RNA (497 nucleotides) under uncultured bacterium. RNAcentral describes it as "partial 16S ribosomal RNA". It matches the Rfam family "Bacterial small subunit ribosomal RNA", at positions 28 to 507 of the family's 1533-position model. The record is from RNAcentral.